Molecule: ribosomal RNA, 601 nt
Filed under: Bacillus subtilis
Lineage: Bacteria; Bacillati; Bacillota; Bacilli; Caryophanales; Bacillaceae
Description: bacterial SSU rRNA
Rfam family: Bacterial small subunit ribosomal RNA
Source: RNAcentral
CGACUCUCUGGUCUGUAACUGACGCUGAGGAGCGAAAGCGUGGGGAGCGAACAGGAUUAGAUACCCUGGUAGUCCACGCCGUAAACGAUGAGUGCUAAGUGUUAGGGGGUUUCCGCCCCUUAGUGCUGCAGCUAACGCAUUAAGCACUCCGCCUGGGGAGUACGGUCGCAAGACUGAAACUCAAAGGAAUUGACGGGGGCCCGCACAAGCGGUGGAGCAUGUGGUUUAAUUCGAAGCAACGCGAAGAACCUUACCAGGUCUUGACAUCCUCUGACAAUCCUAGAGAUAGGACGUCCCCUUCGGGGGCAGAGUGACAGGUGGUGCAUGGUUGUCGUCAGCUCGUGUCGUGAGAUGUUGGGUUAAGUCCCGCAACGAGCGCAACCCUUGAUCUUAGUUGCCAGCAUUCAGUUGGGCACUCUAAGGUGACUGCCGGUGACAAACCGGAGGAAGGUGGGGAUGACGUCAAAUCAUCAUGCCCCUUAUGACCUGGGCUACACACGUGCUACAAUGGACAGAACAAAGGGCAGCGAAACCGCGAGGUUAAGCCAAUCCCACAAAUCUGUUCUCAGUUCGGAUCGCAGUCUGCAACUCGACUGCGUGA